CUUUAUCAUCAUGAAAACUUGUUCUUAGUUACAAAUCACUUUUUUAGUAUUUCAGGCUCAGUAACUGGAAAGGUAUUAUUUCCACCUCAGGAAAAUGAAUAACAGCCUUUAAACCAGCUAUUCUGGUUCACAUAAGAAGCUCCAUCCUGCCCGUGGUAGUGAAAGUCUGUGGAGGAUGGACUAAAGAGCUCAUGAGCUAAUGGAACUCAUUGCAGACAUAAGCAAUCAUGCAGUCCUGUUCCAUUGAAUCCAGAGUGAAAUGAUUAAUAUGGACGAGAACAUAUAGACAAUAAGGUAACCACAACUUCCAGCUAAAUGCACAACAGGCUGAUAAAGCUGUUUGUACACUGGACAAUGAACUGCAUAAGAGAUGUAGUUCUGUUUGUUUCUUCAGGAAAACCUCCUAAGAGCAGAGAAGAUGGCAAAGAAGAAAUCCCAGCUAUUUGAAAACCACAGGAGGCUGAGCCCUCUGAUAGACAAGACAUUUCCUGAAAUUCCCUAGGCAUAAAACUGGAAACGUUAUAUAGAGGUGAUAGGAGGAAACGUGGCUUCUCAUUUUGGAAGACUUUCUCUCGCAUUCUUUUUAAAACACUGACUUUCAAGAUAAUGAUGUAGAGAUUUGUACACAUUGCAACAUCCUUUUAUUGGGCAUUAACAGUUCUACGAGGCUGAUAUAACAUCACACUACUGAUAUCUCUGCAGAAAAUAAGAGCCAUCAAUACCUAUCAAAUAACCUUUGAGUUGAAGUAUGGAUGAAAUUUUAGAGCUACAGCCAUGAGGUGUGGGCAGUGAAGACCUUG
Molecule: long non-coding RNA, 800 nt
Filed under: Chrysolophus pictus (golden pheasant)
Lineage: Eukaryota; Metazoa; Chordata; Aves; Galliformes; Phasianidae
Description: lncRNA (ENSCPIG00010000523.1)
Source: RNAcentral